CCUACGGGUGGCAGCAGUGAGGAAUAUUGGUCAAUGGGCGCGAGCCUGAACCAGCCAAGUAGCGUGAAGGAUGACUGCCCUACGGGUUGUAAACUUCUUUUAUAAAGGAAUAAAGUGAGGCACGUGUGCCGGUUUGUGUGUACUUUAUGAAUAAGGAUCGGCUAACUCCGUGCCAGCAGCCGCGGUAAUACGGAGGAUCCGAGCGUUAUCCGGAUUUAUUGGGUUUAAAGGGAGCGUAGGUGGGUUGUUAAGUCAGUGGUGAAAGUUUGCGGCUCAACCGUAAAAUUGCAAUUGAUACUGGCAGUCUUGAGUACAGUUGAGGUAGGCGGAAUUCGUGGUGUAGCGGUGAAAUGCUUAGAUAUCACGAAGAACUCCGAUUGCGAAGGCAGCUUACUAAACUGCCACUGACAUUGAUGCUCGAAAGUGUGGGUAUCAAACAGGAUUAGAUACCCGAGUAGUC
Molecule: ribosomal RNA, 460 nt
Filed under: uncultured bacterium
Lineage: Bacteria
Description: partial 16S ribosomal RNA
Rfam family: Bacterial small subunit ribosomal RNA
Source: RNAcentral